AGCGUUUGAAGUAGAGAAUGUGCUGCUACACGCCCCUUGGGCCAAAAGAAAUGCGGGAAAGGGCACACCCGCCAAAUGCU
This 80-nucleotide non-coding RNA is filed under the name unclassified sequences. RNAcentral's name for it is "skipping-rope RNA". It matches the Rfam family "skipping-rope RNA". From Rfam's summary of the family: Firmicutes, Fusobacteria, AlphaProteobacteria, Spirochaetes. Downstream gene The record is from Rfam by way of RNAcentral.